This 292-nucleotide ribosomal RNA is filed under the name uncultured bacterium. RNAcentral's name for it is "partial 16S ribosomal RNA". It matches the Rfam family "Bacterial small subunit ribosomal RNA", at positions 505 to 796 of the family's 1533-position model. The record is from RNAcentral.
GUGUCAGCAGCCGCGGUAAUACAGAGGUGCCAAGCGUUAGGCGGAAUCACUGGGCUUAAAGCGCGUGUAGGUGGAUGGGUAAGUACCUUGUGAAAUCCCACGGCUCAACCGUGGAACUGCUGGGUAUACUGCUUGUCUUGAGGCACUCAGGGGCAGCUGGAACAAAUGGUGGAGCGGUGAAAUGCGUAGAUAUCAUUUGGAACGCCAAAGGCGAAAGCAGGCUGCUGGGAGUGAUCUGACACUGAGACGCGAAAGCCAGGGGAGCAAACGGGAUUAGAAACCCGUGUAGUCC